This 105-nucleotide ribosomal RNA is filed under the name uncultured eukaryote. RNAcentral describes it as "partial small subunit ribosomal RNA". It matches the Rfam family "Eukaryotic small subunit ribosomal RNA", at positions 1676 to 1785 of the family's 1831-position model. The record is from RNAcentral.
UCGCUCCUACCGAUUGAGUGAUCCGGUGAAUUAUUCGGACUGCGAUAUGGGAAGUUUUCCUAUGUUGCGGAAAGUUUUGUAAACCUUAUCACUUAGAGGAAGGAG